Non-coding RNA from Punica granatum (pomegranate), 1022 nucleotides. The record is from RefSeq and is a predicted model, not a curated record. Lineage: Eukaryota; Viridiplantae; Streptophyta; Magnoliopsida; Myrtales; Lythraceae.
UAAGAAGAAAGAACCAUGUUCGAACACACAGUAUCGAUCUCAAAUCCCUCACUUUCCAUGGAGUCAACUAAUCUCAGCAUCUCUGGAAGCAACCCUGAUUUCCCAUACGCAUACACCAGAGUCCUGAACUCGAAAGCUGAAGAUGCAGAAUUUCGGAGAAGUUGCUGCAGAUAAGCGAAAGAGGCGUGGAAUCCUCGAUCAGAUUUGUGUUUGGCAUGGGACUCGAUCAGAUUGCAAUAGAACAGAGCGAGGUCUCGCUCACGAAACUCAAAUUUCGAAACGGUUUCUGCAGAAGCCUCCCUGAUCCUCAGAUAGAACUGCAGAACAGUAUCGAGUGUACUGUGACUUAACAGAAGUCUCUUACUAUCAAAGGAGGCAAAGGGAGUUGACUCACCGGAAGAGCGAGAAAGGAGAGGUUGGGCUGGGCGGCGCCGGGGGAAAGGAGAUGCGACAGAGCAUUGAGAGCUACGGAUUUCGGUGAGCCCGCGAUGAAUUUCUUCAUCAAGCGGUCGGUGGCGGCGGCAUCUCCGGCGGCGAGGGUCAGGCUGUGGACGAGGCGCUGGCCCUGCUUGCUCAGCGCGCAGUGGACAGGUGCUGGUGGAGUCGCCUGCGGCUGGGGGUAGAAAUGGCGGUGGCGGUGGCGGCAGCGGCAGCGGCUGUUCCACGGCAGCUGCGGAGGAUGCCGGAGUCGGAGGCUGUCCAUCGAUGACAAUCGGCAGCUGACCGGUAAAUAGGCUGGGCCGUGUCCGUAUCUGUUGUCAUCAGGUUCAGACCAGGCUGACCAUUUGACCGGACUAGACCGGCUUUGUUCCACGAAUCCCUUAUCCAACUGAUUACUUAGACCGGUCAGGUCCGGUAGCCACUUGUCUGUCGACCCAACAUCUCAUGCAUUUGCAAAAUUUGGAGCUAAGUCUUAGCGAAUGAUAAUAUUCAUCUUGUAAUUGUUUUUACCCCAAAUGCUUCAGAUAUUACUUUCAUGGUGUUAAAGAAGGAAGAAAACAUGAGCACUGCUAUUCGAUUCA